CUUCAACGACCCCAGCCACAGCGGCUCGUCACGGUCCUGGCCGUACGUCGCGAGCAGCGCCUGCGCCUC
RNAcentral lists this antisense RNA (69 nucleotides) under Streptomyces scabiei. It matches the Rfam family "ASpks TB sRNA". The record is from RNAcentral. Lineage: Bacteria; Bacillati; Actinomycetota; Actinomycetes; Kitasatosporales; Streptomycetaceae.